Molecule: ribosomal RNA, 254 nt
Filed under: uncultured bacterium
Lineage: Bacteria
Description: partial 16S ribosomal RNA
Rfam family: Bacterial small subunit ribosomal RNA
Source: RNAcentral
UACGUAGGGUGCGAGCGUUAAUCAGAAUUACUGGGCGUAAAGCGUGCGCAGGCGGUCUGUUAAGACCGAUGUGAAAUCCCCGGGCUUAACCUGGGAACUGCAUUGGUGACUGGCAGGCUUUGAGUGUGGCAGAGGGAGGUAGAAUUCCACGUGUAGCAGUGAAAUGCGUAGAGAUGUGGAGGAAUACCGAUGGCGAAGGCAGCCUCCUGGGCCAACACUGACGCUCAUGCACGAAAGCGUGGGGAGCAAACAGG